AAAAACGACUUUGGCGGCUUUCGCUCGAUGAAGAACGUAGCGAAAUCGAAUCUUGGUUGUAAUUGCAGAAUCCCGUGAACCAUCGAGUCUUUGAACGCAAGUUGCGCCCGAAGCCCCAUCAGGCCGAGGGCACGUCUGCCUGGGCGUCACACAUC
Molecule: ribosomal RNA, 155 nt
Filed under: Artocarpus altissimus
Lineage: Eukaryota; Viridiplantae; Streptophyta; Magnoliopsida; Rosales; Moraceae
Description: 5.8S ribosomal RNA
Rfam family: 5.8S ribosomal RNA (bases 25-149)
About the family: 5.8S ribosomal RNA (5.8S rRNA) is a component of the large subunit of the eukaryotic ribosome. It is transcribed by RNA polymerase I as part of the 45S precursor that also contains 18S and 28S rRNA. Functionally, it is thought that 5.8S rRNA may be involved in ribosome translocation.
Source: RNAcentral